CCUACGGGUGGCUGCAGUGAGGAAUAUUGGGCAAUGGGCGCGAGCCUGACCCAGCCAAGUAGCGUGAAGGAUGACUGCCCUACGGGUUGUAAACUUCUUUUAUAAAGGAAUAAAGUGAGGCGCGUGUGCCUUUCUGUCUGUACUUUAUGCAUAAGGAUCGGCUAACUCUGUGCCAGCAGCCGCGGUAACACGGAGGAUCCGAGCGUUAUCCGGAUUUAUUGGGUUUAAAGGGGGCGUAGAUGGGUUGUUAAGUCAGUUGUGAAAGUUUGGGGCUCAACCGUAAAAUUGCAAUUGAUACUGGCAGCCUUGAGUGCAGUUGGGGUAGGUGGAAUUCGUGGUGUAGCGGUGAAAUGCUUAGAUAUCACGAAGAACUCCGAUUGCGAAGGCAGCCUACUAACCUGCCACUGACAUUGAUGCUCGAAAGUGUGGGUAUCAAACAGGAUUAGAUACCCUAGUAGUC
Molecule: ribosomal RNA, 460 nt
Filed under: uncultured bacterium
Lineage: Bacteria
Description: partial 16S ribosomal RNA
Rfam family: Bacterial small subunit ribosomal RNA
Source: RNAcentral